This 429-nucleotide ribosomal RNA is filed under the name Salmonella enterica subsp. enterica serovar Kentucky. RNAcentral describes it as "bacterial SSU rRNA". It matches the Rfam family "Bacterial small subunit ribosomal RNA", at positions 433 to 853 of the family's 1533-position model. The record is from RNAcentral. Lineage: Bacteria; Pseudomonadati; Pseudomonadota; Gammaproteobacteria; Enterobacterales; Enterobacteriaceae.
CUGUUAUUAGGGAAGAACAUAUGUGUAAGUAACUGUGCACAUCUUGACGGUACCUAAUCAGAAAGCCCCGGCUAACUCCGUGCCAGCAGCCGCGGUAAUACGUAGGUGGCAAGCGUUAUCCGGAAUUAUUGGGCGCAAAGCGCGCGUAGGCGGUUUUUUAAGUCUGAUGCGAAAGCCCACGGCUCAACCGUGGAGGGGCAUUGGAAACUGGAAAACUUGAGUGCAGAAGAGGAAAGUGGAAUUCCAUGUGUAGCGGUGAAAUGCGCAGAGAUAUGGAGGAACACCAGUGGGGAAGGCGACUUUCUGGUCUGUAACUGAGGCUGAUGUGCGAAAGCGUGGGGAUCAAACAGGAUUAGAUACCCUGGUAGUCCACGCCGUAAACGAUGAGUGCUAAGUGUUAGGGGGUUUCCGCCCCUUAGUGCUGCAGCU